Molecule: transfer RNA, 131 nt
Filed under: Candidatus Pacearchaeota archaeon
Lineage: Archaea; Nanobdellati
Description: tRNA-Ile
Rfam family: tRNA
About the family: Transfer RNA (tRNA) molecules are approximately 80 nucleotides in length. Their secondary structure includes four short double-helical elements and three loops (D, anti-codon, and T loops).
Source: RNAcentral
GAGCCCGUAGCUCAGCCUGGUUAGAGCACUGCUCUUAUAUGAGAGUGUUUCGUUUUAGGAACACACCUUUAGAGUUAAGAGGUGAACUCUAAGAUAGGCAGGGGUCCUCGGUUCAAAUCCGAGCGGGCUCA